UCAUUGUUGCCGGUAAUGGCAUGUAGAAUAGGACUCUAUCUUUAUUCUCGUCCGAUUAAUUAGUUAUACA
This 70-nucleotide transfer RNA is filed under the name Bupleurum wenchuanense. RNAcentral describes it as "partial tRNA-Leu". The record is from RNAcentral. Lineage: Eukaryota; Viridiplantae; Streptophyta; Magnoliopsida; Apiales; Apiaceae.